GGGCGUGUGGUCUAGUGGUAUGAUUCUCGCUUUGGGCAAUGGUUCAAGCAUGCGAGAGGCCCUGGGUUCAAUUCCCAGUAUGCCCC
RNAcentral lists this transfer RNA (86 nucleotides) under Zygosaccharomyces bailii ISA1307. Its description in RNAcentral is "transfer RNA-Pro(TGG)". It matches the Rfam family "tRNA". Rfam says of the family: Transfer RNA (tRNA) molecules are approximately 80 nucleotides in length. Their secondary structure includes four short double-helical elements and three loops (D, anti-codon, and T loops). Further hydrogen bonds mediate the characteristic L-shaped molecular structure. tRNAs have two regions of fundamental functional importance: the anti-codon, which is responsible for specific mRNA codon recognition, and the 3' end, to which the tRNAs corresponding amino acid is attached (by aminoacyl-tRNA synthetases). tRNAs cope with the degeneracy of the genetic code in two manners: having more than one tRNA (with a specific anti-codon) for a particular amino acid; and 'wobble' base-pairing, i.e. permitting non-standard base-pairing at the 3rd anti-codon position. The record is from RNAcentral. Lineage: Eukaryota; Fungi; Ascomycota; Saccharomycetes; Saccharomycetales; Saccharomycetaceae.